AUUGAACGCUGGCGGCAGGCCUAACACAUGCAAGUCGAGCGGAUGAGUGGAGCUUGCUCCAUGAUUCAGCGGCGGACGGGUGAGUAAUGCCUAGGAAUCUGCCUGGUAGUGGGGGACAACGUUUCGAAAGGAACGCUAAUACCGCAUACGUCCUACGGGAGAAAGCAGGGGACCUUCGGGCCUUGCGCUAUCAGAUGAGCCUAGGUCGGAUUAGCUAGUAGGUGAGGUAAUGGCUCACCUAGGCGACGAUCCGUAACUGGUCUGAGAGGAUGAUCAGUCACACUGGAACUGAGACACGGUCCAGACUCCUACGGGAGGCAGCAGUGGGGAAUAUUGGACAAUGGGCGAAAGCCUGAUCCAGCCAUGCCGCGUGUGUGAAGAAGGUCUUCGGAUUGUAAAGCACUUUAAGUUGGGAGGAAGGGGCAGUAAGUUAAUACCUUGCUGUUUUGACGUUACCAACAGAAUAAGCACCGGCUAACUUCGUGCCAGCAGCC
RNAcentral lists this ribosomal RNA (494 nucleotides) under uncultured bacterium. RNAcentral's name for it is "bacterial SSU rRNA". It matches the Rfam family "Bacterial small subunit ribosomal RNA", at positions 30 to 516 of the family's 1533-position model. The record is from RNAcentral.